This 467-nucleotide ribosomal RNA is filed under the name uncultured bacterium. RNAcentral describes it as "partial 16S ribosomal RNA". It matches the Rfam family "Bacterial small subunit ribosomal RNA", at positions 28 to 506 of the family's 1533-position model. The record is from RNAcentral.
GACGAACGCUGGCGGCGUGCUUAACACAUGCAAGUCGAACGGAAAGGCCCUGCUUUUGUGGGGUGCUCGAGUGGCGAACGGGUGAGUAACACGUGAGUAACCUGCCCUUGACUUUGGGAUAACUUCAGGAAACUGGGGCUAAUACCGGAUAGGAGCUCCUGCUGCAUGGUGGGGGUUGGAAAGUUUCGGCGGUUGGGGAUGGACUCGCGGCUUAUCAGCUUGUUGGUGGGGUAGUGGCUUACCAAGGCUUUGACGGGUAGCCGGCCUGAGAGGGUGACCGGCAAAUUGGGGACGAGAGACGGGCCCAAACUCUAAGGGGGGGAGGAGGGGGGGAAUUUUGAAAAAGGGGGGAAGGCUGAAUGAGGAAACGCCGGGGGGGGGAGGAGGGCCUUGGGGUGGAAACCCCUUUUCCCCGGGGAGGAGGGGUGGGUAAGGGAAAGGGUAAAAAAAGCACCGGCAAACUCGGG